CAAGGUUUCCGUAGGUGANCCUGCGGAAGGAUCAUUAUUGAAUAAACUUGGUUGGGUUGCUGCUGGCUCCUUGGAGCAUGUGCACGCCUAGCACCAUUUUUACCACCUGUGCACCUUUUGUAGACCUGGAUACCUCUCGAGGAAACUCGGUUUGAGGACUGCUGUGCGCAAGCCGGCUUUCCUUGCUUUCCGGUCUAUGUUUUCACAUACCCCAUAAAAUGUAACAGAAUGUCAUUAACUGGCCUUUGUGCCUUUAAUCAAAUACAACUUUCAGCAACGGAUCUCUUGGCUCUCGCAUCGAUGAAGAACGCAGCGAAAUGCGAUAAGUAAUGUGAAUUGCAGAAUUCAGUGAAUCAUCGAAUCUUUGAACGCACCUUGCGCUCCCUGGUAUUCCGGGGAGCAUGCCUGUUUGAGUGUCAUUAAAUUCUCAACCUUAYCAGUUUUUACUAGCUGGUAAGGCUUGGAUGUGGGGGUUGCGGGCUUCUCAGAAGUCGGCUCUCCUUAAAUGCAUUAGCGAAACCUUUGUUGACCAUCCUAUGGUGUGAUAAUUAUCUACGCCACAGUGAUAUCAGCUUUAUUAUGGGGUUCUGCUUCUAACCGUCCUCUCGAGGACAACUCUUGACAUUUUGACCUCAAAUCAGGUAGGACUACCCG
RNAcentral lists this ribosomal RNA (654 nucleotides) under Lyophyllum atratum. Its description in RNAcentral is "eukaryotic LSU rRNA". The stretch from base 266 to 419 matches the Rfam family "5.8S ribosomal RNA". Lineage: Eukaryota; Fungi; Basidiomycota; Agaricomycetes; Agaricales; Lyophyllaceae. The record is from RNAcentral.